GGAAUCUAUCAUCAUCGAGAUCAUCUUCGAUUUCUUCAAGUUCUUCUUCAGUCUUUUCAUCGAUCCAAGACUUGUCCUUAGGGACGGUAUCCGGGUCAGGUGCAGGUUCAAAAGGGUCAGGCUUGAAAGCUGGUGGCUUUGGGGGUAAAUUCCCAAGCUUUCUUUGAAUAUCAUCCCAUUGAGUGGAAGCUCCUUCGACAUCUUUGUAAACGAAAUGGUA
RNAcentral lists this long non-coding RNA (220 nucleotides) under Gossypium barbadense (sea-island cotton). Its description in RNAcentral is "long non-coding RNA (GBAR_LNC015443)". The record is from RNAcentral. Lineage: Eukaryota; Viridiplantae; Streptophyta; Magnoliopsida; Malvales; Malvaceae.